UACGAAGGGGGCUAGCGUUGCUCGGAAUUACUGGGCGUAAAGGGCGCGUAGGCGGACAGUUUAGUCAGAGGUGAAAGCCCAGGGCUCAACCUUGGAAUAGCCUUUGAUACUGGCUGUCUUGAGUUCGGGAGAGGUGAGUGGAAUGCCGAGUGUAGAGGUGAACUUCGUAGAUAUUCGGCGGAACACCAGUGGCGAAGGCGACUCACUGGCCCGAUACUGACGCUGAGGCGCGAAAGCGUGGGGAGCAAACAGG
RNAcentral lists this ribosomal RNA (253 nucleotides) under uncultured bacterium. Its description in RNAcentral is "partial 16S ribosomal RNA". It matches the Rfam family "Bacterial small subunit ribosomal RNA", at positions 524 to 776 of the family's 1533-position model. The record is from RNAcentral.